This 593-nucleotide ribosomal RNA is filed under the name Hepatozoon felis. RNAcentral describes it as "SSU rRNA". It matches the Rfam family "Eukaryotic small subunit ribosomal RNA", at positions 463 to 1053 of the family's 1831-position model. The record is from RNAcentral. Lineage: Eukaryota; Apicomplexa; Hepatozoidae.
GGUAGUGACAAGAAAUAACAAUACAAGGCAGUUAAAAUGCUUUGUAAUUGGAAUGAUAGAAAUUUAAACACUUUUUAAAGUAUCAAUUGGAGGGCAAGUCUGGUGCCAGCAGCCGCGGUAAUUCCAGCUCCAAUAGCGUAUAUUAAAAUUGUUGCAGUUAAAAAGCUCGUAGUUGAAUUUCUGUUAAAAAUAACCGGUCUGCUUUUAAUAAAAGUGGUAUCUUGGUGUGUUUUUAGCAAUAAUGUCCUUUGAAAUGUUUUUUACUUUAUUGUAAUAAAUAAUAUUCAGGAUUUUUACUUUGAGAAAAUUAGAGUGUUUCUAGCAGGCUAACGCUUUGAAUACUGCAGCAUGGAAUAAUAAAAUAGGAUUUUAGUUCUACAUUAUUGGUUUUAAGAACUAAAUUAAUGAUUGAUAGGGACAGUUGGGGGCAUUUGUAUUUAACUGUCAGAGGUGAAAUUCUUAGAUUUGUUAAAGACAAACUACUGCGAAAGCAUUUGCCAAAGAUGUUUUCAUUAAUCAAGAACGAAAGUUAGGGGAUCGAAGACGAUCAGAUACCGUCGUAGUCUUAACUAUAAACUAUGCCGACUAGAGAU